RNAcentral lists this ribosomal RNA (250 nucleotides) under uncultured bacterium. RNAcentral describes it as "partial 16S ribosomal RNA". It matches the Rfam family "Bacterial small subunit ribosomal RNA", at positions 524 to 773 of the family's 1533-position model. The record is from RNAcentral.
UACGAAGGGUGCAAGCGUUACUCGGAAUUACUGGGCGUAAAGCGUGCGCAGGCGGUUAUGCAAGACAGAUGUGAAAUCCCCGGGCUCAACCUGGGAAUUGCAUCAGUGACUGCAUAGCUAGAGUGCGGCAGAGGGGGAUGGAAUUCCGCGUGUAGCAGUGAAAUGCGUAGAUAUGCGGAGGAACACCGAUGGCGAAGGCAAUCCCCUGGGCCUGCACUGACGCUCAUGCACGAAAGCGUGGGGAGCAAAC